UAGAGAUCGUAACGAAACUUCGUCAUCAGCUUAAUUACAGAUGGCGUAUUGCGUAUGCAUGAGGUCCACUUAAUUUUCUUGCUGUUGGUCAACCUGCCUUUUUGAAUUAUAUUGUGGUACUGAUUGCAGCGAAGCUUCACCGUCUCGUUAAUUACAGAACAUCAUUGCAACCGUGCUCGUAGCAAUGAUCGAGUGUUCUGUCGUUAAAAUAAAAAUAUCGCGAAGUAGAAGCAGUGUUUGUUCGUUCGCGUCUCGCGUUUUAAACAAUAAAUGCAAUUGUAUCGAUUGCGUGCAAUGCAAUCGUUAGAGUCAGUGUUUGUUCGCUAAGUUUCUUGCUUUUUUAACAGUCGCACAGACUGUUAUUAUAAAACACAGUAGAGUUUCGCGAAUUAAGUUCAGUGAUCGUUCGUUAAUAAAUAACUACCGCGAAUUAGAAUCAGUGCAUCACCGAAGAGGAUUUCAACCAACUUCGAUGUCGACCUACCUCAUUUUCAACCAACUACGAAUCAUCCACCCUCAAUUUCGACCUACAUCGCGGACGAGUGUUUUGGAGCCAUCGCAGAACCUCUUAAAUAGUAAGUGAAUUUUUAAGUACGAUC
Long non-coding RNA from Vespula vulgaris, 599 nucleotides. RefSeq lists it as uncharacterized. The transcript is spliced from 3 exons. Lineage: Eukaryota; Metazoa; Arthropoda; Insecta; Hymenoptera; Vespidae. The record is from RefSeq and is a predicted model, not a curated record.